AAUUUCAAAGUGUGUUUUAGACCACUACAGUGGCCAUGCCUAAUAAUUCCUUAUUUUUACAAGUGAUGGAUAGGGUUUUUCCCAAAAUAAUAGUAACACUGGGUGUCCACACCACUACUCAGGUGGGCCUUAAUUCCCAGCCAGGUUCCCUCCCUGGACACACAAUGAAGGGC
This 173-nucleotide long non-coding RNA is filed under the name Pan troglodytes (chimpanzee). Its description in RNAcentral is "lincRNA". The record is from RNAcentral. Lineage: Eukaryota; Metazoa; Chordata; Mammalia; Primates; Hominidae.